Molecule: ribosomal RNA, 333 nt
Filed under: uncultured bacterium
Lineage: Bacteria
Description: bacterial SSU rRNA
Rfam family: Bacterial small subunit ribosomal RNA
Source: RNAcentral
UGAGUUUGAUCCUGGCUCAGGAUGAACGCUAGCGGGAGGCUUAACACAUGCAAGUCGAGCGGGAUUAGAUAGCUUGCUAUCUAUGAGAGCGGCGCACGGGUGAGUAACGCGUAUGCAACCUACCUUUUACAGGGGAAUAGCCCAGAGAAAUUUGGAUUAAUGCCCCAUAGCAUCAUUUUUUCGCAUGAAUUAAUGAUUAAAGUUCCGACGGUAAAAGAUGGGCAUGCGUGACAUUAGCUAGUUGGGGGGGUAACGGCCCACCAAGGCAACGAUGUCUAGGGGUUCUGAGAGGAUGAUCCCCCACACUGGUACUGAGACACGGACCAGACUCCA